RNAcentral lists this unclassified non-coding RNA (277 nucleotides) under plant metagenome. RNAcentral describes it as "partial contains small subunit ribosomal RNA and internal transcribed spacer 1". The record is from RNAcentral.
AAGUCGUAACAAGGUUUCCGUAGGUGAACCUGCUGGAAGGAUUAUUACCGUAGUUAGGGUCCCUUUGGGGACCCGAAACCUCCCAAGCCCUGGUGUCUAUUGCUUACCCAUUUGAGUUGCUUCCGGCGGGGCCGGCCGGUCCUGACCAACUGGUCUCGCUGGCCGCCGGUCGUGGGUUUCCACGAUUGGAGAGCUCGCCCGCCAGAUGGCCCAACACAAAACUCUGGUACGAAACACUGUCGUCUAAAAUACCUUGAUAUUAAUCAAAAAACAAAAA